AUCGCUUCUCGGCCUUUUGGCUAAGAUCAAGUGUAGACUGCCAGGGCAGUGCCUAUAUAACUUUAAUUAAUGUGGCCAAAAGAUAUUCUUUUGAAAGUAAACAUUAAAAACAUAAUAUAUUUCAAAGUGUUCCAGUGAAGUUCAU
Molecule: small nuclear RNA, 145 nt
Filed under: Cervus elaphus hippelaphus
Lineage: Eukaryota; Metazoa; Chordata; Mammalia; Artiodactyla; Cervidae
Also listed under: 1 other name
Description: U2 spliceosomal RNA
Rfam family: U2 spliceosomal RNA
About the family: U2 is a small nuclear RNA (snRNA) component of the spliceosome (involved in pre-mRNA splicing). Complementary binding between U2 snRNA (in an area lying towards the 5' end but 3' to hairpin I) and the branchpoint sequence (BPS) of the intron results the bulging out of an unpaired adenosine, on the BPS, which initiates a nucleophilic attack at the intronic 5' splice site, thus starting the first of two transesterification reactions that mediate splicing.
Source: Rfam by way of RNAcentral